RNAcentral lists this ribosomal RNA (510 nucleotides) under uncultured bacterium. RNAcentral describes it as "bacterial SSU rRNA". It matches the Rfam family "Bacterial small subunit ribosomal RNA", at positions 8 to 518 of the family's 1533-position model. The record is from RNAcentral.
AGAGUUUGAUCCUGGCUCAGGAUGAACGCUGGCGGCGUGCCUAACACAUGCAAGUCGAACGGAGCUUAGUUUUUGGAGACUUCGGUCAAAGAAGUUUAAGCUUAGUGGCGGACGGGUGAGUAACGCGUGGAGAACCUGCCCUGUACUGGGGGGAUAACAGUGAGAAAUCACUGCUAAUACCGCAUAAGCGCACGGAGCCGCAUGGCUCAGUGUGAAAAACUCCGGUGGUACAGGAUGGCUCCGCGUUGGAUUAGCCAGUUGGCGGGGUAACGGCCCACCAAAGCGACGAUCCAUAGCCGGCCGGAGAGGGUGAACGGCCACAUUGGGACUGAGACACGGCCCAGACUCCUACGGGAGGCAGCAGUGGGGAAUAUUGCACAAUGGGGGAAACCCUGAUGCAGCGACGCCGCGUGAAGGAAGAAGUAUCUCGGUAUGUAAACUUCUAUCAGCAGGGAAGAUGAUGACGGUACCUGACUAAGAAGCCCCGGCUAACUACGUGCCAGCCGCGGC